GUCGUAACAAGGUAGCCGUAUCGGAAGGUGCGGCUGGAUCACCUCCUUUCUAGAGAUGACGAAGCCGGAUUCGAUCAAGGUCGAAUCGAGAGCCAAGUCCACAAUGCCUGAAUUCAGCGCGCCCACACUUAUCGGCUGUAGAACACAACAGUGUGACAAACCUCAAUCUCAGUGAUGGGCUUGAGGUUUGUCAGUCUUGAAGAAGGCUGUUGUUCUUUAACAAUUUGUAGAGUCGAAUCAGCGUUGUCCGCGGAAAGCACUGAGGUGCACCGUGCCGCGGACAACAUUUGAUUGCGUCACCAGACUUCAACUCUGAUUAGUCAGAGAGUAAUUGAAGAACGGCAUAACGUGAAUACUCAAAACAGUCCAAGAAAGAAGUUGGACUGCAGUCCUUGACGACAUCAAGCGAUGUCAAAGUUAUAGGGUCAAGUGACUAAGUGCAUGUGGUGGAUGCCUUGGC
This 460-nucleotide unclassified non-coding RNA is filed under the name uncultured bacterium. RNAcentral's name for it is "partial contains 16S ribosomal RNA, 16S-23S ribosomal RNA intergenic spacer, and 23S ribosomal RNA". The record is from RNAcentral.